RNAcentral lists this transfer RNA (65 nucleotides) under Bradyrhizobium cytisi. Its description in RNAcentral is "tRNA-Glu". Lineage: Bacteria; Pseudomonadati; Pseudomonadota; Alphaproteobacteria; Hyphomicrobiales; Nitrobacteraceae. RNAcentral also lists the same sequence under 6 other names. The record is from RNAcentral.
AUCGAGCGGAUCGACUUGGCCCUCUCAAGGCUGAAACAGGGGUUCGAUUCCCCUAGGGAGCGCCA